Molecule: transfer RNA, 76 nt
Filed under: Prochlorococcus sp.
Lineage: Bacteria; Bacillati; Cyanobacteriota; Cyanophyceae; Synechococcales; Prochlorococcaceae
Description: tRNA-Met
Rfam family: tRNA
About the family: Transfer RNA (tRNA) molecules are approximately 80 nucleotides in length. Their secondary structure includes four short double-helical elements and three loops (D, anti-codon, and T loops). Further hydrogen bonds mediate the characteristic L-shaped molecular structure. tRNAs have two regions of fundamental functional importance: the anti-codon, which is responsible for specific mRNA codon recognition, and the 3' end, to which the tRNAs corresponding amino acid is attached (by aminoacyl-tRNA synthetases). tRNAs cope with the degeneracy of the genetic code in two manners: having more than one tRNA (with a specific anti-codon) for a particular amino acid; and 'wobble' base-pairing, i.e. permitting non-standard base-pairing at the 3rd anti-codon position.
Source: RNAcentral
UGGGCCUGUAGCUCAGUUGGUUAGAGCAGUGGACUCAUAAUCCAUUGGUCGGAGGUUGAAACCCCCCGGGCCCACC